Molecule: small RNA, 911 nt
Filed under: Histoplasma capsulatum
Lineage: Eukaryota; Fungi; Ascomycota; Eurotiomycetes; Onygenales; Ajellomycetaceae
Also listed under: 1 other name
Description: hypothetical RNA
Source: RNAcentral
ACUAUCAAAAGUUUAUUUGCCGGCGUUGGGAUGGAUCCUGCAACUCCACACGAUUCCAUUUUACAAGCUGAUGGAACGAACCUAUGGCGCCGAGAUUAUUAACUUGGUGGCUCGUGUCAACGACCAACUUACUGCCGGUCCUGCCAAUCUCGUAAAACAUCUGUCAGAGUUUGCGCCUUUGCUUCUCAAGGCUCUUCAGCCGUGGCCACAGUUCUCAGGCGCUUUCGUAUCUCUCCUGACUAUCGCUCACAACGUUGUCGAAUCGGGAAUGGAACGGAAACGGUAUCAUGCAGCCGAUGAGUUAAUUGCAACAGCAGAACUUAUUGAUGCCGUGGAAUCUGUAUAUACGUGCCUUCGCUCCAUUGAUGCCGAGUAUCAAUCUUACAUUUCGAAGAAGUCUUCUUGGGUUACCAAUGAUAGCAGCGAGUCUGUUCUCCGUUACAUCGGCUACUCCUACCAUAACAUUGCUGUUUUGAAUAGUCAGCUGGCAGUGCAGAUGACGCGCGAUCUUGGCGUUGAUGUUCCGGAAAAUGCCAAACAGGAAGAAUAUCCUUCCAUCAUCCACCUAGGUUGGAAGUUCCAAGUCUUAAAGAGGCAUAUCACAGAGGGUCGAAUGGAGCUCCGCGUCUAUGGAAUGGAGACUAUGCAGGCUGAUCUUGUCAGUGUCUGGCGACAACAUAUACAAGGAAACCCUGCCGGCGUUAACUAUCCAAUUAUCCAGUAUCUUGUGAAAUUCCUGAGGGACAACAAGAUCGUGGAGUACAUUGUCGGUGUGGAUUCGCAUCCCCAGUUGAUUAGCCGAAGUGGAAACGUAGUUGGGUUCCUUGUUGUAACGUCCACAUACGCGGACAACGACACCGAUAUUAUUUGGAACACGGUGACUGAAAGCCAGGACCCGAGAACCGUGGCGG